RNA transcript from Motacilla alba alba, 2508 nucleotides. It is a transcript of the gene named POC1 centriolar protein B, with no coding region annotated. Lineage: Eukaryota; Metazoa; Chordata; Aves; Passeriformes; Motacillidae. The record is from RefSeq and is a predicted model, not a curated record. The transcript has 12 exons.
CGCGCAGCGCGGCCGCGCAUGGGCGGAUGGGCUCCGCGCUCUUGGCGCGGCGGAUGAAUCCGGGGCUCGGCGGGCCGCGCCCGGAGCGCGGGGCUCUCACGGGCCGCUCCCUCCCGCUCCGCCCAUGGCCUCCCCGCUGGAGGACCCCGUCCUGAUCCGGCCUUUCCGCGGCCACACGGCGGCGGUGACGGGCGUCGCCUUCGACGCGAACGCGGCGGAGAUGGUUACCUGCUCUGUGGACAGGCUUCUCAUAUUGUGGAAGCUGAAGACACAGUGCAGCGCCUACGGAUUUUCAGGCCAUGCGGAAGCGGUGACAAGUGUAGAGUUCUCACCAGAUGGGCAGGUGCUGGCUUCAGCUUCUCAGGAUCACACUGUCAGGCUAUGGAUUCCUUGCAUUCAUGGAGAAUCAUCAGUACUGAAAGGUCAUACAGCAUCUGUUCGGAGUGUGAGCUUCUCCCACGAUGGCUACUCUGUAGUUUCAGCAUCCAAUGAUAAAUUAAUAAAAAUAUGGAGUGUUUGCUAUCAGCGCCUUUUGUUUACCCUCUUCCAACACACUGGUUGGGUUUGCUGUGCCAAAUUUUCACCGGAUGGAAGAUUAAUAGCAUCUUGUGGUGAGGACAAAUCUAUUAAGAUCUGGGAUACAAGAAAUAAAAUUUGCAUUAAUACCUUCUCAGAUUAUGAAGGAUUUCCAACUUUUGUGGAUUUCAACCCAAGUGGAACAUGUAUAGCUUCUGCAGGUUCCAAUAACACAGUGAAACUAUGGGAUAUUCGAAUGAACAAGCUACUGCAGCAUUUCAAAGUUCACAGAGCAGGGGUUAAUUGUAUAUCAUUCCAUCCUUCUGGUAACUACCUCAUCACUGCUUCUUCUGAUGGUACCCUUAAGAUUCUGGACCUCUUAGGAGAAAGACUUAUUUACACUCUUCAUGGACACAAGGGACCUGUACUUUGUGUGGCUUUUUCAAAAGGUGGUGAAAAUUUUGCCUCAGGUGGAGUGGAUGCUCAGGUAUUACUAUGGAAAACCAACUUUGAUGCUUUGGAUUAUGAAGAAGUAAUCAAACACAAUUUUAGAAGAACACAUAUUGAUGAUCCUCCUCAUCUUCUUGAUGUUUAUCCAAGGUCAUCUCAUUUCCAUGAUGAAAAAUGUAAGUCAGUUGAGGUCGACCCUACCUUUGAUGUGCCUGAUAUACAAACACCUGACCCAGUUAUCAUCGAUAUUAGAACAUCUUCAUAUCUCAAUACUUCUGUAAGUUGCUUUAAGAAAAAAGAAAAAGAAAAAGGGAGUAAACAUGCCUUCAAGAAAUUCCUCUGAGUUUGUUGAUCAACCUCUUUUCAUUGUAAAUUCAUGUUGAAUAUGGAUAUACUAGGUGACUUUGAAUGAGAUAGAGGAAGUGCUGUCCUUUAUAUAUAAUUUAAGACUCUGUACAACAAACUCACUGCUACCAGGUAUUGCUUCUUUCUAAAGUUCAGUUAGACUUUUCUAGCUAGGUAUUGGUCUAAAGGCUUUCAUUCAGUUUUUUUUAGGUAGGGGAAAGAGGACAGAAAGGAGUCAUGAGCAGGCAAGCCAGAAGAAUGGCUGUCGUUUCUCUGAUUAGGUAUGUUCCUGGUGAGGAUGCUCUACUCUCACUCACACCCUGCCUCCUUCCUCCCACGUACUUAAUGCCCUUUGUCAAUCCCCACGAUCCGCUAUUUGAAGUACAGGGAGUUUGCCCACAUGUUAGGAAAGUCCUUUGUUUUUAUUCAUUAACAUUUGUAAUAUCAAAAAUAGCAGAAUAUUCUAUUUAUAGUGGUAGAAAGGAGGUCUUGUCCACAUAGAGUUAUUAAGUAUCUAUUUUUACUUCCUUCUACUAAGCGUUUCAUUAUAUAUUCAGUUUCUGUUACAAGUAUUCCUCCUGCCCUCCUUUAGCUUUUCUCUGCCCUGGAAUGGGUAAGAAGUUCAAGCAGAGUCUGUGAUACAAUUUUUAUUAGGACUCUGUGCAGGUAAAAAGGCACCAUAAUAGAAACUUUUUUUCAGUUUUAGCCAUAAGAUGUCCCCUUGGGUGUGCAUGCAAGCAGUCCUAAGUAAUUUGCCUAAAUUAAACUUGGCUACUUUAUUUCAUAAUUGUAAAUAGUAGGAAAUGCUUCUGUAGUGUCAUGUUGUUUUUCCUUAGUUUUACAAAGCUUCUUGCUGAAGCUGAAGAUAUACUGGAGGUAAUUGAUUACCUUUCUUUGCCUUUCUUCUACAGGGUACACUUUUAUAUUUUGGUGCCCAUGGUGCAAGUGUUUUUAUAACUUAUGAAAGUGUUUAAGUAUGGUCUUCUUGAACUGUUACAUUUGAAUUGACUUCCUGACAGGGGAUUCUCACCUUUGGAAAUUGAACCUCCAAUGAUUUCUGCCUGGGUGUUGGCAGAAGUGAAGAACUGCUGAGUCCCUCUGCUUCUUCCUCAGCAAGAAGUUCAAAAAGAAAGGCAGAGAGGGAGAGUGGGUCAGCUGUGCUUAGUGUGGGACAGCACAGAGGCAUCUCCUCCUCCG